Molecule: RNA transcript, 1642 nt
Organism: Cyprinodon tularosa
Lineage: Eukaryota; Metazoa; Chordata; Actinopteri; Cyprinodontiformes; Cyprinodontidae
Gene: rsrp1
Gene name: arginine/serine-rich protein 1
Exons: 4
Source: RefSeq, a predicted model, not a curated record
GUCUGCUGCAGUUUCUCCAUCAUUCCAGUGACGACGGUCGGAGGCUCAACAUCGAGAAAGAAGUGUUGCGCUUGUUUUCGAAAUAUUUGGUCUUAAUCCAAUAUUUCAUAGAUAUUUCGCUUUUGAAAGUACAUUGUUGCUUCGUUUAAACACUUUUUGAGGUGCUUUUCUUCGUAGCUGGCAUUUUUGUCGACGAUUUGAUAAAGAGAUUUCGUAGCUAACGUAAACUGCCUUUGGCAGAAUCUCAGAACGAUGGCUACACAGGUUAACUCUCACUCGGAUAUGGCUCAGGCUCGCCAGAGCGAUGGCCUCAAUGUGAUCUUCGACCAGAAAAGCCCCGGAUCAUCUCGCUCCCGAUCCCGCUCUGUCAGCAGCUCCGCCAGCAGCCGAUCCACUGGUUCUGGCUACAGGGCGCGCAAAGGUCGCCGGGGUGAUUACAGGUCAUCAUCCUCAUCCUCCUCAUCUUCUUCCAGGAGCAGGUCAUCUUCUCGCUCCAGGUCGCGUUCCAGAUCCCGCUCCCACCCUCGUUGCCACCGCCACUCCUCCCGGUGCCGGUGUGAUGACCACCGCAGUUAUGGCGGCGACCGAUACCGCCGUUCCCCACCCAGGCGCUACAGGGCGCGCUCCCGAUCCUACAGUCGAUCCCCAGCCCGCCGCUAUAGAGGACGCUCCCGCUCCUACAGCCGAUCCCCUCCACGCCGCUACAGGGCGCACUCUCGCUCCUACACACGGUCCCCCUCAGCAGACAGAUAUUACCGCUAUCGGCGGAGGUCCAGGUCCGGCUCCUGGUCACCGGCCCGCUGGAGCAGAUACAGGAGGCCCGUGAGUCAGCUGAGAUGCAGGUUUUCUCGUUCCCCUUCCAGGCCCUACAGGGGGCGCUCACGAUCCAGGUCAUCAGGACGCUCUGUCAGUCUAAGCGUGCAUGACAAAAGGGAACUCCUUGAAGUUGCCAAGGCCAAUGCAAUGAGGAUGCUGGGAGUGGAGAAGCUGGACCUUCCUGAAAGUGUGAAGCCCAUCCUGUCAGAGCAGCCAGAGGCCAGACGUCACUCACCGGAGCCACUCACCAGGGUGAGGCAAGGGCCCCAAAAGACUGAGGUGGAGGUGAGUGGUCUGCAAAAGUAAAGAGCUUUAAAAGGAAACGUCUCUCCAGGCUUUGUAUGGUUGGGAAAGCAGUUUCCUUUCCAUUACGGUACGGUACUAUUGGCCUGGAAAAUGUUUUAUUAAGGUAACAGAUUUGUUCUUAAAAGAACAUUCAGUUCUUUAAAUUUGCUGCUGGUCAGUUUAUAUUGAAGCUGACUCCUUACCUGCUCUUGAUCUACUUUUUUUUUUGUAACAUUUCCUUGUAAAUCUUCUGACCCAUGAGGGAACACACAUGCUCUCUGUAUUUAUUCCUGUCUUCAUAGAUUACAUGACAGUGGUCUCCUUCACUCAUCGGCACCUGGGAUAAAAAGGCUGUCAUGUGACUUGGAUGAAAUGGGUUAUUAUUAUAGCAGAAUCUUCCACUCGCUGAAGGAGAACAGACAUGUGUCAAGAGAACUUCUCUGCAUAUCCUAAAGAUAAGUUGGUACACAAGAUGUGUGCUGAGGGGCUGGGGGAACCUGCGUCUUCAUCAUUGAUCCAUCAGUCUUCCAGUUAAAACUAA